UAGACUGUAAAAUAUUUAUUAGAAGAAGUAAAAGAAAAAUAAAUUGAUGUAGAAAUCAAUAGCCUUUGAAUACUUCAAACAGCCAGACUGAAGAUAUAAAAAAAGAAAUGUCCAAAAUUUUAGUGACAGCAGCAUGUAUGAAAUAUUUAGGACAAAAUGUACAAAUAAAUAGUUGUGAUUUUAAAAAAAUCCAUAAAAUAUUACUAUGGAACCCCAAAGAAGAAUUAUACAAAUGGAAAGUAUUAAUUUUUGAAAUACUGUCAUAUAUCAUACAUUGACAUAUAGACAUCUGUUUUGCCUAAGUUAAUACAUAAAGUUAAUGUGACCCUUAUAGAAGCAACAGCAUAUUUUUCAACCAGACAAGUAAUUCUAAAUUCAUGUAGAAAACUACUUAGCAGUAGUAACCAAAACACCCUGAAGAGUCAUGAGAAGUGACCUUUCUAGAUACCAAAAUGUAUUAUAAAGUGAUGACAAUUAAAAUGGUCUUGUAUUGGCACAUGAAUAUACAAAUCAAUAGGGCAGAAUAAAAAUAUACUAAAGUACUCAAAUAUAUAAAAACAUUAUGAUACAAUCACUAUUUCAAAACAGGAAAGCGGUAUUAUUUUUAAAAGAGUUGCAGGCAACAAAAGAGCAUAGUUGUUUGGAAAAACAAACAAAAAAGCUCGGUCUUUUUUAUUUACAAACGAAUUCCAGAUUGAUCAAAGAUAUAAAUGUAAAGAAGUGCAACCAGAAAUUAUUAGAAAAAAAUGGACUUUUAAAAAAUUUUUUUAUUUUUUAUGACUGCACCUGUGGCAUAUGGAAAUUCCUGGGCUUGGGUUCAAGUCAGAGCUGCAGCUGCCAGCCUGUGCCACAGCCACAGCAACACCAGAUCCAAGCUGCAUCUGCAAACUACAUUGCAGCUCAUUGCAAUGCCAGAUACUUAACCCACUGAGUGAGGCCGGGAAUUGGACCCACAUCCUCAUGGACACUUUGUCGGGUUCUUAACCCACUGAGCCACAACAGAAAUGCAAAAAUGGAUUUUUUUUUUUAAACUCCAGGAAAGCUAAGGUUUCUCUAAGUAUGAAGUAAGUCUUUGAAGUCAUUAAAACAAAUGAUUGAGUCAACCAACUUCUUAAAAAGAAUUCUUCAUGAUUCAAAAUAAAUUGUCAAAAGGCAAUCUGAGGAAGAAGAAUUACAAUUUGUAGAAUAUGAAAGGGCUAGCCCUUAUAUGCAAAAUUUCCCUACAGAUCCAUAAGUAAAAGUCUGACCACACAAUAACAAAUGUGGAAAAGAUAUGAAGAGAUUGUAGAAAAGGAAAAAUAGCUUAAAUAAAAAUUCUGACUGAAACUGCCAUGAGAUACUGUGUUCACCUCUUCAACUGUCAAAGAUCGAAAUGCACGUGGGCAAAAAAGCUGAUAUACUGGCUUGGCAUACAUGCGGGAAGCAGGCACUCUCACACAAUCCUGGUGAAAGGUAAAUUAAUACCACCCUCUAUACUGAGCAAUUGGGCAAUAAAAAUUAAAAAUACAGAUAUUUUUAGCCUCUGGGAUUCCAUUUCUGGAUAUUGAUCCAAUUAAACUCCCAUCAGUACAACUUAACAUAUAAGAUGUUAUGUGUAGCAAAUGACUUGCAAUAACUUAACUGUAGCACGGAAUAGGCGAUUGGUCAAGACAGAUAGAUCAGAAAAGUAUUCAGCCAUUUCAAAAGAAUGAAGCAGUAUUUAUAAACUGAUAGAAAAAAGUGGUAAAAUUAAGUGGAAAAACCCAAGAUGAUAGAUGAUGUAUUUAGUAAAGCUAAAAUUUGAUUUUAAAAGGGGAAAAAUAUAUAUUCUGUAUUUACUCAUAUUUACAUAGAAUAUUUUGGAAAGAAUAUUCAAGGAUGCAAUAGCAAUGGCCAUUUCCAGAGAGAGAAACAUGAAGUCUGGGAGAAAGGGUCAUGAAAAACUUUCACAGAAUAUUUGGUAUUUUUCAAAUUUUAUACCAUAGGUUUAUUUAUGUAUUUUUUAAAAAAGAAAAGGAUGGUAUAGAGAGCCUCAGAGUGGAAAGAACAUGAACUCUAAAUUAGGAGCCAGACCACCUAAACCUAUUCCAAACUCUGCCACUUCCUGACUGGGUGACUUUGGGCACUUAAAUUCUAUUUUUUUUUUUUUUUUUGUCUUUUUAGGGCUGCACCUGGGGCAUAUGGGGGUUCCCAGGCUAGGGGUCUGAUUGGAGCUUGUAGCCACCCGCCUGCGCCACAGCCACAGCAACUUGGGAUCUGAGCCAGUCUGUGACCUACAACACAGCUCAAGGCAACGCUGGAUCCUUAACAUACUAAGUAAGGCCAGGGAUCGAACCUGUGUCUUCAUGGAUACUAGUCGGGUUAGUUAACUGCUGAGUCAUGACAGGAACUCUCAAAGUACUCAAGUUCUCUGUGGCCUAUUUUUCUCACCUUUAAAAUGGGAAUAUGAUCCUUCCUUUCCUCUCAGGCUGUUGUGAGGACGACAUUCAUUAAUACAUGUAAGGCAACAUCGGGUACUUAACACAGAAAAGGGCUUAAUUAAUGUUUUCUCCUCAAAAUAAUAGGGUGAAACACACAAACACAGACAUACUAGGUAUCCAUAAAAAGCAGGCUGCCUAGACAGUACUGGGACAGCUUAGAAAAAGAGAGGACAGCCACUUUGGAUUCAAGACCAGGACUGAGUGUCCAGGAGGAUAACAGCCACAGAACCUCUAAGCGAAAGAAUGCAGAUAUCUAUCAGUUUAGUUUUUGCCAAUUCAGUCCUACAGUUGCUGUUCCAAAGGGUCUGGACAUAUACGCACCAUCACCACCACGGCCGCCAUGACAAAAUGUGAAUAUAAUGUAGAUUUAGGGAGAAAAAUUAUUAGCUGAGAAACAGAAAAACAUACCAGGUCUUCUAGCUUUGCUUCUUUCAGAGUGCCAAAACCAGGGACAGCUGAACAGGGUCCAGCAUGGACAAGGUUCCAGGGGAGAGACCCAGCUUUCAGAGGGCCAGAGAAUGUAGCGCGAGAGUCCUGGUCCAGGAAGUAGCCUUAGAAAAAGAAGCUUUAUGACCUUGACCUCUAGCAUCAGCAAGUCUUCACUGAGCCAAGUCACAGCCACUGAACCAGGUUUUGGCUGAGCUCUGAGAAGCAAGGGCGUGGGCCUCCCAAGGCCAUCCAGAUUUAUCUCCCUCUGAUACUGUAAUUUUAUAUCCUUUAUGUGUUCUCCCAAAAGAAUUACACUACUACCUGGGCAUAUUUUAAUUGGUGAGUGGCCACAGUGAGAUCACAUUAAGAAAUUUCGUGAGAGUUUUAGGUUUUAUUUUGGUGUUUCUAGAGACGCCUGCAAAGGUGUAGAACACAUCUCUUCUCAUUAUUUGAGAUGAUAAAUUCAAUAGGACCCAUUACUUUGUAUAAUUACACGGUUCAGAUCAGAAGAAAUUCUCCACCUUUAGGCAAUGACU
This 3424-nucleotide long non-coding RNA is filed under the name Sus scrofa (pig). RNAcentral's name for it is "lncRNA (ENSSSCG00000055711.1)". Lineage: Eukaryota; Metazoa; Chordata; Mammalia; Artiodactyla; Suidae. The record is from RNAcentral.